ACAUUGGUGGUCCAAUGGCAGAACUCUCACCUUCCAUGUGGGAGACUUGGGUUUGAUUCCCUGCCAAUGCC
RNAcentral lists this transfer RNA (71 nucleotides) under Loxodonta africana (African savanna elephant). It matches the Rfam family "tRNA". Rfam says of the family: Transfer RNA (tRNA) molecules are approximately 80 nucleotides in length. Their secondary structure includes four short double-helical elements and three loops (D, anti-codon, and T loops). Lineage: Eukaryota; Metazoa; Chordata; Mammalia; Proboscidea; Elephantidae. The record is from Rfam by way of RNAcentral.